GACGAACGCUGGCGGCGCGCUUAACACAUGCAAGUCGAACGGAAAGGCCUGCUUUCCCUUGUGGAUUGCGGGUACUCGAGUGGCGAACGGGUGAGUAACACGUGAGUGAUCUGCCCCCAACUUGGGUAUAAGCCUGGGAAACUGGGUCUAAUUCCCGAUAGGACUGCAGGGUGGUGCCUGUGGUGGAAAACGAUUUUCUAGUGGUUGGGGAUGAGCUCGCGGCCUAUCAGCUUGUUGGUGGGGUAAUGGCCUACCAAGGCGGCGACGGGUAGCCGGCCUGAGAGGGUGGACGGCCACAUUGGGACUGAGAUACGGCCCAGACUCCUACGGGAGGCAGCAGUGGGGAAUAGUGCACAAUGGGCGGAAGCCGGAUGCAGCGACGCCGCGUGGGGGAUGACGGCCUUCGGGUUGUAAACUCCUUUCGACCGCGAGGAAGCCACCUGGUUGGAAGGGUGGUGACGGUAGUGGUAGAAGAAGCACCGGCUAACUACGUG
RNAcentral lists this ribosomal RNA (494 nucleotides) under uncultured bacterium. RNAcentral's name for it is "partial 16S ribosomal RNA". It matches the Rfam family "Bacterial small subunit ribosomal RNA", at positions 28 to 507 of the family's 1533-position model. The record is from RNAcentral.